This 73-nucleotide transfer RNA is filed under the name Allomuricauda sp. RNAcentral describes it as "tRNA-Asp". It matches the Rfam family "tRNA". From Rfam's summary of the family: Transfer RNA (tRNA) molecules are approximately 80 nucleotides in length. Their secondary structure includes four short double-helical elements and three loops (D, anti-codon, and T loops). The record is from RNAcentral. Lineage: Bacteria; Pseudomonadati; Bacteroidota; Flavobacteriia; Flavobacteriales; Flavobacteriaceae.
AGUACCGUAACUCACUGGCUAGAGUGCCCAACUGUCUCUUGGGAAGCAAUGGGUUCGAUUCCCAUCGGUACUG